Molecule: long non-coding RNA, 1390 nt
Organism: Tribolium madens (black flour beetle)
Lineage: Eukaryota; Metazoa; Arthropoda; Insecta; Coleoptera; Tenebrionidae
Exons: 3
Source: RefSeq, a predicted model, not a curated record
GUUUUGCGAAUGGUUUUAACUAACCAUUUAACUUUCCCGAACUUGCAUUGGCACAUAUUUGUUUUAUUCAUCUUUUCAAAAAAAAAGACGGGUUUAAAGUAAAGAGAAUGAAUUAAAAACGUAGGGGCGGAUUUAAAUUAUUGAAGACCCCUAAUACUCAUAUUUAAAAACACAUAUUAAUGUGCUCAUUACAAUAACGUUUGUUUUGUCUAAAGUAAACAAGCUAUAAUACAGCAAAAAUUAUGGGCUUUACGUCUGUAGUUUCGAAAGAUUUUAAUCAUCACUGUUUAUUACAAUCACGGCUUCCUUGAUUAAUGAAGGAAGUUUCCCUUCACCCGGCUAGUCGCAUUCAUUAGUUCCGUGCCUUUUUUUUGGUUUCGAGAGGGAGCCACAUUAAGGUACAAGAUUUUGACAGUUAAUAAGGUUAUGUGCUGUCACACUCCUGUCAGUGGAAAGCAAAAAGGCGUUAGUACAUUUAUAAAAACGUAAUUUGGCCACAUUUCGCUUGUGUAUAAUGCCAUUAGGAAUUAAAUACGCACGUCACAAUCUCACACUAAUGAUUUUUUCGAAAAGUAAACAAUUUCCUGAUAUGUGGCUAUUUGGUAAACUAGAGUAAUGUGUAUUGUGCCGUAUUAAAUCCCUGACAAUUAUAAGUGACUAAACCUGCAAGAGUGCAACAGCUUGUUAGAAUACAGUGCACAACCAAUACGUUCAAGGUCUUUUAGGCCCGUAGGGGGGUUAUAAGAUAAAGAAUUUUUUUGAAUAAAUAUAACUUUUUUUCCUAGUACUUUGUGUGUAGAGAUUGCAAAAAUUUGCCAACGAUAAUGCCGCAGACACUGCGAUGUUCCUCGCAGGAGAAUAUGGGAUUUUCAUUUAAAUAUGUAACAAUUAUUGUUUUCAAAAUGUAGUCUACAUCUUGCGUAGGCACACUGGAUGAAUAUUUGAGCUUUCCUCUGUCUUGAUUAUAAAUUAAUUCCAAGAGGGGACUUGUUUUUGACUCAAAAUAAUUGGUUAAGGGUACUAGACAAGCAGUACAUUUUACAGUCUCCUCAACUUUUCUUAACAAAUAUCCACAGAGAAAUCCAAUUUCUAACUUAAAUUUCAAAUAAUUACGACGUUUGGCGCGUGAUUUUGGUAACUAUGGUAACAAGAAAAGUUUUCGGAAGAAAUUAACAGAUGGCGAUACAUUAGAGUACGCUGUUAGAACCACUUUUUUUUUUUAAUGCGACCAGCCGGGUGAAGGGAAACUUCCUUCAUUAAUCAAGGAAGCCGUGAUUACAAUGUUUCUAAAUGCAUAAUGUUUCAUCUAAAAAUUUUUAAAUGGAAUAUGUAUACUCGUUUUCAUAUUAAUGUGCAUCGAAGUAGUCGUUGAAAGGGACUAUUUUAAGGU